UACAGAGGCCCCAAGCAUUACCCGGAAUUAUUGGGCGUAAAGGGUGCGUAGGUGGUCAUAUUAGUCGUUUGUUAAACCCCGGGGCUCAACCCCGGAUCUGCGGGCGAAACGGUAUGACUCGAGGGCGUGAGAGGUACAUGGAACUCUAGGUGUAGGGGUGAAAUCCGUUGAUAUCUAGGGGAACACCGAAAGCGAAGGCAAUGUACUGGCGCGUUCCUGACACUGAAGCACGAAAGCGUGGGUAGCGAAUGGG
RNAcentral lists this ribosomal RNA (253 nucleotides) under uncultured bacterium. RNAcentral's name for it is "partial 16S ribosomal RNA". It matches the Rfam family "Bacterial small subunit ribosomal RNA", at positions 524 to 776 of the family's 1533-position model. The record is from RNAcentral.